UAGGGAAUCUUCCGCAAUGGACGAAAGUCUGACGGAGCAACGCCGCGUGAGUGAAGAAGGAUUUCGGUUCGUAAAACUCUGUUGUUAGGGAAGAAAAAAUGUAUAGUAACUAUAUACAAAAGAGACGGUACCUAACCAGAAAGCCACGGCUAACUACGUGCCAGCAGCCGCGGUAAUACGUAUGGGGCAAGCGUUAUCCGGAUUUACUGGGUGUAAAGGGAGCGUAGGCGGCAGUACAAGUCGGGAGUGAAAACUCGGGGCUCAACCCCGAGACUGCUCUCGAAACUGUACAGCUAGAGUGCAGGAAGGGCAGGCGGAAUUCCUGGUGUAGCGGUGAAAUGCGUAGAUAUCAGGAGGAACACCGGUGGCGAAGGCGGCCUGCUGGACUGUAACUGACGCUGAGGCUCGAAAGCGUGGGGAGCAAACAGG
RNAcentral lists this ribosomal RNA (429 nucleotides) under Verrucomicrobiota bacterium. RNAcentral describes it as "Verrucomicrobia bacterium partial 16S ribosomal RNA". It matches the Rfam family "Bacterial small subunit ribosomal RNA", at positions 355 to 776 of the family's 1533-position model. Lineage: Bacteria; Pseudomonadati; Verrucomicrobiota. The record is from RNAcentral.